UACGGGGGGGGCAAGCGUUGUUCGGAAUUACUGGGCGUAAAGGGCUCGUAGGCGGCCAACUAAGUCAGACGUGAAAUCCCUCGGCUUAACCGGGGAACUGACAUCUGAUACUGGAUGGCUUGAGUUCGGGAGAGGGAUGCGGAAUUCCAGGUGUAGCGGUGAAAUGCGUAGAUAUCUGGAGGAACACCGGUGGCGAAGGCGGCGAUCCUGGACCGACACUGACGCUGAGAGCGGAAAGCCAGGGGAGCAAACGGGAUGAGAACCCAGACGCA
RNAcentral lists this ribosomal RNA (272 nucleotides) under uncultured bacterium. RNAcentral's name for it is "partial 16S ribosomal RNA". It matches the Rfam family "Bacterial small subunit ribosomal RNA", at positions 524 to 795 of the family's 1533-position model. The record is from RNAcentral.